AUACGGAGGACGCGAGCGUUAUCCGGAUUCAUUGGGUUUAAAGGGUGCGCAGGCGGCCGUGCAAGUCAGCGGUGAAAGCCCGGGGCUCAACCCCGGAAGUGCCGUUGAUACUGCAUGGCUGGAAUGCGGCCGAGGCGGGCGGAACGUGGCGUGUAGCGGGGAAAUGCGUAGAUAUGCCACAGAAAGCCGAUAGCGGAGGCAGCUCGCCAGGCCUGCAUUGACGCUCGGGCACGAAAGCGUGGGGAUCGAACAGGAUUAGAUACCCUGGUAGUCCACGCCGUAAACGAUGGGCGCUCGUCGUCGGCGGCAGACAGUCGGCGGCCAAGCGAAAGCGAUAAGUUAUCCACCUGGGGAGUACGACCGCAAGGUUGAAACUCAAAGGAAUUGACGGGG
This 393-nucleotide ribosomal RNA is filed under the name uncultured bacterium. RNAcentral describes it as "partial 16S ribosomal RNA". It matches the Rfam family "Bacterial small subunit ribosomal RNA", at positions 523 to 918 of the family's 1533-position model. The record is from RNAcentral.